Molecule: ribosomal RNA, 400 nt
Filed under: uncultured bacterium
Lineage: Bacteria
Description: bacterial SSU rRNA
Rfam family: Bacterial small subunit ribosomal RNA
Source: RNAcentral
UAGGGAAUAUUGGACAAUGGGCGAAAGCCUGAUCCAGCAAUGCCGCGUGAAUGACGAAGGCCCUAUGGGUUGUAAAGUUCUUUUAUUAGGGAAGAUAAUGACGGUACCUAAUGAAUAAGCACCGACUAACUACGUGCCAGCAGUCGCGGUAAUACGUAGGGUGCAAGCGUUGCUCGGAUUUACUGGGCGUAAAGCACAUGUAGGUGGCUUAAUAAGUCGUAAGUGCAAUCCCUAGGCUCAACCUAGGAACUGCUUACGAUACUGUUAAGCUUGAGUAUGGUAGGGGAUAGUGGAAUUCCUAGUGUAGGGGUAAAAUCCGUAGAUAUUAGGAGGAACGCCAAAAGCGAAAGCAACUAUCUGGGCCAUUACUGACAUUGAGAUGUGACAGCGUGGGGAGCAA